CCCCUACCUUCACCAUACCCCAUAGGCUUAACUGUUUGGUCAGGAUCUUCUGGUUCACUCGCCAGGGACUGCACUUUAUGAUCAGGCUUUUCUUUGUGAUCGAGCAUAGUUUUAGGAUCAGGUUCUUCUAGCUCACCCCACAUGGGUUGCAGUUCAUGAUCAGGCAUGACCUUGUCCUCAGGCUCCUCUGGUUCACCUGGCAUGGACCGCAGCAUAUGGUCAGGCAUGAUCUUGUCCUCAGGCUCCUCUGGUUCACCCGGCAUGGACCGCAGCAUAUGAUCAGGCAUGAUCUUGUCCUCAGGCUCCUCUGGUUCACCUGGCAUGGAGUGCAUUUUGCGAUCAGGCAUGAUCUUGUCCUCAGGCUCUUCCGGUUCACCCGGCAUGGACUGGAGUCUAUGAUCAGGCAUGAUCUUGUCCUCAGGCUCCUCUGGUUCACCCGGCAUGGACCGCAGCAUAUGAUCAGGCAUGAUCUUGUCCUCAGGCUCCUCUGGUUCACCUGGCAUGGAUUGCAUUUUGCGAUCAGGCAUGAUCUUGUCAUCAGGCUCUUCCGGUUCACCCGGCAUGGACUGGAGUUUAUAAUCAGGCAUGAUCUUGUCCUCAGGUUCUUCUGGUUCACCCGGCAUGGACUGGAGUUUAUGAUCAGGCAUGAUCUUGUCCUCAGGCUCCUCUGGUUCACCCGGCAUGGACUGCAGCAUAUGGUCAGGCAUGAUCUUGUCCUCAGGCUCUUCUGGUUCACCCGGCAUCGACUGGAGUUUAUGAUCAGGCAUGAUCUUGUCCUCAGGCUCCUCUGGUUCACCCGGCAUGGAUUGCAUUUUGCAAUCAGGCAUGAUCUUGUCCUCAGGCUCUUCCGGUUCACCCGGCAUGGACUGCAGCUUAUGGUCAGGCUUCACUUUGUGCUCAGAUUCUACAUUGAACAUCUCAUGAUCUUGCACGCUCAAACUAACCAUCCCAGGCUUCACAACAUGGUUCAUCUCUAGCUUUCUUGCCUCCAUCAUUGAGAGAUCCUUGAGAACCCUGCGUGCCAAAGUUGAACUAAAGAAGCAUAGUAAGAGAACGAAUCCAAAGCAUCUGCCUUGGUGUCCCUUUG
Molecule: long non-coding RNA, 1087 nt
Filed under: Brassica napus (rape)
Lineage: Eukaryota; Viridiplantae; Streptophyta; Magnoliopsida; Brassicales; Brassicaceae
Description: long non-coding RNA (BNAP_LNC017887)
Source: RNAcentral